UAGAAGUCAGGUCGGAUUAAGCCAUAGUACGGAAAAAACUAUGCUACCUGUGAGCCCCGUCCAAGGACGUUAAAAGAAGUCAGGCCAUCAUAAAUGCCAUAGCUUGAGUAAACUAUGCUGCCUGUAGCUCCACCUGAGAAGGUGUAAARAAUCUGGGAGGCCACAAACCAUGGAAGCUGUACGCAUGG
Molecule: long non-coding RNA, 188 nt
Filed under: dengue virus type 2
Lineage: Riboviria; Orthornavirae; Kitrinoviricota; Flasuviricetes; Amarillovirales; Flaviviridae
Description: Dengue virus 2 partial sfRNA1
Source: RNAcentral